AGAGUUUGAUCAUGGCUCAGGAUGAACGCUAGCGGCGGGCCUAAUACAUGCAAGUCGAACGGAACUACUGAUUUCGGUUGGUAGUUUAGUGGCAAACGGGUGCGGAACACGUACGCAACCUUCCCAUAACUAGUGAAUAGCCUUCCGAAAGGGAGAUUAAUACACCGUAACAUAAUGAAGUGGCAUCACUUUAUUAUUAUAGCUCCGGCGGUUAUGGAUGGGCGUGCGCCUGAUUAGGUAGUUGGUAGGGUAACGGCCUACCAAGCCUUCGAUCAGUAACUGGUGUGAGAGCACGACCAGUCACACGGGCACUGAGACACGGGCCCGACUCCUACGGGAGGCAGCAGUAAGGAAUAUUGGUCAAUGGACGCAAGUCUGAACCAGCCAUGCCGCGUGAAGGAUGAAGGCCCUCUGGGUUGUAAACUUCUUUUAUCUGGGACGAAAAAUAGGCUUUCCAGCUUACUUGACGGUACCAGAGGAAUAAGCACCGGCUAACUCCGUG
RNAcentral lists this ribosomal RNA (502 nucleotides) under uncultured bacterium. RNAcentral's name for it is "bacterial SSU rRNA". It matches the Rfam family "Bacterial small subunit ribosomal RNA", at positions 8 to 507 of the family's 1533-position model. The record is from RNAcentral.